This 109-nucleotide Y RNA is filed under the name Pseudomonas fulva 12-X. Its description in RNAcentral is "Y RNA-like". It matches the Rfam family "Y RNA-like". Rfam says of the family: In Deinococcus radiodurans Rsr is tethered via Y RNA to the exoribonuclease PNPase and channels single-stranded RNA into the PNPase cavity. Rsr and Y RNA enhance degradation of structured RNAs by PNPase. The record is from Rfam by way of RNAcentral. Lineage: Bacteria; Pseudomonadati; Pseudomonadota; Gammaproteobacteria; Pseudomonadales; Pseudomonadaceae.
GCAGCGAAUGCCUUGGGUACUACAUUGUGUCGCGGGUUCGAGCCCCGUCAGCCGCAAGGCUGUAGCUCAGUCGAUAGAGCAAAUGUGCCCAUCAACUCGUCGCUGCACG